AGACACACCGCGGCACCAGUGCUCUGCCCCAACCGCCCGCCCGCCCUUCACAUCCCUAAACCCAAAGAAGAACAUAUUGCCACGCAGAGAGUAAGACUCCCGCGCGCGCUCGCGAUGCUCAGCAACACCAAGGGAUAUCAACGCUUCUCCCACACCCUCGGCUUCCACAGUGAUGACCUCUCGAAGCUCAGCAAGGUUUGUCACCAGUGGUGCGAGACAGGCAAGUGCAAGGCGUACAACAAGGAGCAGGAAGUGCGUCGCGAGAUUGCUGCUGCCAAGGAGGCGGAGCUGCUGAAGAAGGCGACCGCCCUCUACACCAUGCACAUGGAACUCAUGGCAGACAUGGCCGGUGCAGACGGGGACGACGCGGAGGCGCUUGAGCUGAUGCAGAGCGCCAUGUCACGCGGUAGCUUCCCUGCCGACCCCGCCAAGCGGGAGGAGGUAAUCAGCAAGCUUGUCGAGGAGCUGAAGCAGGAGCCGGUCUACCUCAACUGGAGCCUUGAUGCCGCAGUGGCGGAGCGGCUCGUGGAGCUCAAGGUGAAGCGGUGCCCGUACAACCAUCGCGGGGCUCUGAACUUAGCGCUGAAGCGCGGCCGCAGUGAGGAGGACGAGGAGGAGAUGCUGCACCGGAGUGAAGAAGAGGUGCUGAGAGGGUCUUCCACCAACGGCGCAGCGGCUGCGUCCUCAUCAUCGGCGGUAGCCACCACCACAGCCGCAGGACCAGCGAAGGACACUGGCGACGACAGCGACGGUGGCUGGGCUGAAGCGAGGCACCGCAUCUUCCGCACUCUCACGCCGCUUCAGCGCUGCGUCGUGUGUCUGCUGUGGCAACGCACCUUCCAGGUGGCGCAAGGGCUGGUGAUGGACGUGCGGCUGGCCUUGGAAAAGCGGGUAACGGCGCAGCACAAGGCCACCGGCAGGGUGGAGCCGCCGUCGAUUUCGUGCAGCGGCGUGGCGGCACAGUCAUCGUCCCAUCGCCCACAUGGCGGCAGCCAGAACGACGUGAAGGACGCAGACGGCGAAGAUGCGUUGGAGGCGUACCUCAGCUCACCUGCCUUCGAGGAACUGGUGGAGCGAGAGACGAAGCGGGUGGUGCCGCGCGUGGCCUUUCGGCCUGAGUUCGGACUCGUUGAUCUGAGUGCUCUGCCGCAGCUCGUGGCGCACCUAAGCGCCCACCCGACAUGCGGCAUCUUUCUGGCGCGCACGCUGACAUACUUUACUGGCAAGGCGCUGAAGCGUGACGGCUCUUCGCCGUCCGCAGCACCAGCAGCGGCAUCGAGUCUCUCCAAACACCAGAGCGACGACGCGCCGGCCCCCGAAAGCUUCCACCACCUUCUCUUCCCGAGCCGCAAGCUUAUCACGGAAAAGGAGCUGGACCUCAGCACCAGCACCUGCGCCGAUGAAGUGAUCGAGGCGAUCGAGUGGGCGCUGCACGUGUACCACCGCCAUGGACAACCGCACGCCGAAACCGAGAGGGCGGAGGGGAAGGGUGAGUGGGGUAUGACCGGCGACGAGCGCCGAUUGUGCAAGGCAAGCGACACCGCAUCGGCUCACGUCACGGCGCUGUUCCGCAAUCAGCGCAUCCGCCUACACGGGCUCACGCUGACACAGUGCAAGAUUACCUCGGCAGACGGCAUCGUGGAGUCACUGCAUAAACGGCACAUGGAGCAGUACCUGUACGCACUCGACCUCUCAGAGAACCGGCUGUGGUCGCUGCGCUUCCUGCUGGUGCUCCGGGCCCACUACGCUCGCCGCCUGCUGCGCCUCUCUCUCCGUAACAACCCCAUCACACGCAAGCCCGAGUACCAAGAGCAAGUUCGCGCCUCACUGCCACAGCUGACCUCCCUCGACGGCGAGCCGAUCCGCCGUCCCCCACUGCGGUUUCCGAAGCCGUGGCCGACCUCGUGCACGCGCUGGAUCGCCGACGAGGGAACGCCGGAACAUCAGGAGCAGGAGUCGGUGCUCGACUGCGUGGCGCGCCUCCUGUACAUCUGGGAGACGCGCCGCAUCCCCCACACCGCGAGGGAGUUGGCCGCCUUCCGUGACGCCGGCCAUCCAGCCACGGAGGAGGAGGCGCUCAACGAGGACAAUUUCCCGCACCGCUACCUCCACCCGGCCGCCGCCUUCAGCGUGACCGUAUCGCCGAGCCUCAGCUUCUACGACGCAGCCACCAUGCGGGAUGCGCGCAGCGUGGAGCUCGAUAAGGACUACACUGGCAUGCGGUUGAGCGCCGUGGACGUGCGCGACGCGCGUGUGUUCAAUGUUGCCAUGAAGAACAGCUCACGCAACCUGCUGGCUGGUAGGCAGGCACUGCAGCGCUUCGGCCGCGGUGCCGAGAACUGCUACAUGGCCUACCAGCUCACCCUCUACCCGGAGAGGAUGGACGUGUCGCACCAUCUGACGGACGCCGUCGUGUCGGUGGCACGUGUGCCACAGGUCGUUAACGCCGCGGUCUCUGGGGGCAAAGCAGCAGCGGCUGGGAAGCGCAAGAAGAGUGCCGCCGAUCCUGGCGUCGCCAGAGCCGCGGGCUCUGGCAAGACGUCGAGCCACGGCAGCCCCACGAGUGCGCGCUUCGGCGCCCUUGCUCACCGUAACCCUCCGUUGCAGCAGCAUGUGGUGACGCUCCAUGGCAUCAUGACGUGGCGGCUGCCCAGUAUGAAGCGCCACGAGUGCAUGCAAGCAUCCUACACUCGGGUGUUGGCCUUCACCAAGAAGGUGCUGCCUGACCAGAACCGCGAGUGGGAGCGGCUGCGCAGCCCUCCCUAUGUGCUCAUGAACGACCAGGUGUUCUUGUACCCGGCGCCGACUGCUGGUGCGGCGGUGGCGGCCACUGCACUGCUGUCUUCGGUGUUCGCGGCAAACACCGCGACGCGUCUGUCACGGCUUGUCGUGGAAUUCGGGCUAGAGGCGUGCCGCGAUGGCGUGGCGCUCGUGCGCGACGUCAUGGAGCGCUGCACAAGCCCCGCCUCCGAGUAUGCUGCGCUGCAGGCGCUGGUGCUCGGCGUGCUUGGCCCUCGCGAGGAAACCGACGAAGCCGAGGAAGCAGCGCAGCUGGCAUGCGCUCAGGCAGCGGAAGCACAGCUGGCGCCCCUCUUCGCUGACUAUCUUCGCCGUUCGCCGCCACCUGCGACGGCGCACUCUCGCGAGUACAUGAUUUUCUCGAUGCUGGAUGGUGUCGCGGCGACGACACCAGUGGAGCCGGCAGUGCACACAACGGGACUGACGCAGCACCAAAGAGGCGUGACAUCAGCCGUGAAGAGGUUGAAAGCACCUGCGGUUACUGCUGCCCCUUCUGCACCGCACAAGGCGUCAGAGAAGGCGGCGGAUGCGCAGACGUGGGCAUCUGCAGUGCACGUCGUCUCGCUGCCACUCCUGCACCAGGUGACGGACAUCACCAACGUAUGCUACACGUUGUCCUUUCACUAAUGUCCCUCAUCAGCAUGUCUUUCCGGCCCUACCUUGGUAGGACGGCAGCCAGAGAGAGAGAGGUGAGGGAGCCGGGACAGAGGUGUCGAGGAGGCACCAGCGCCGCUGCCACGACUGCUCCGGUGACUGCGGACGGUGCCGUUGAUCCGCUCACGCGAAUCGUCGCCGCUGUGCAUCUGCGCGCGUGUCUUUCGUUUUGUUCAGUUAAGCAACUAAGGCAGCAGCCUGCCCCCAC
Molecule: unclassified non-coding RNA, 3661 nt
Filed under: Leishmania donovani
Lineage: Eukaryota; Euglenozoa; Kinetoplastea; Trypanosomatida; Trypanosomatidae
Description: gene:LdHU3.21.0370(CDS-product:hypothetical_prote in_conserved)
Source: RNAcentral